AUGACAGCCCAGCCUAAUGAGGUGGGGGAGCUUGAGAGAGAUGUGUGCUUUGUGUGCUUGGAAAUGGUUCUUUCCAAUGGAUCCUUCCUGAACUCAAACUGUAAAACAUCUCUAACUGGAUUCCUGUUUACUCCACCAGAACUCUCCAGGUCCCUGAACUUUUUAACUCAUACACAUCCAGCAAAAGCAGAGGAGAACCUGGCUCUGUUUCAAAGUUCACACGGACAGUAGACACCGUGAGUCCCAGCCUCACAGAACAUCAGGGCUGGAGGAGGCCUCAUAGAUGACCCCGUCCAAUUCCUUUGUACCGCACGUGUGGGACCUGGAGCCUGAGGAGAAAUGCCCACCUGAAGUUACAAAGCGAAAAAUGGCAGAGCCCUGGACUACAUCUUGUCUCCCAUUAGUAACUCAGCAGGGUUUUGGUGAGUUCUAGAAAAUUUCAGUUGAAACGCAAAAGCUAUUUCUGCCUCUCCUCAGUAAUGUUUAGACU
Molecule: long non-coding RNA, 490 nt
Filed under: Chinchilla lanigera (long-tailed chinchilla)
Lineage: Eukaryota; Metazoa; Chordata; Mammalia; Rodentia; Chinchillidae
Description: lncRNA (ENSCLAG00000028760.1)
Source: RNAcentral